Molecule: ribosomal RNA, 516 nt
Filed under: uncultured bacterium
Lineage: Bacteria
Description: partial 16S ribosomal RNA
Rfam family: Bacterial small subunit ribosomal RNA
Source: RNAcentral
GACGAACGCUGGCGGCAUGCCUAAUACAUGCAAGUCGAGCGGAGUUGACGAGAAGCUUGCUUCUCUGAUACUUAGCGGCGGACGGGUGAGUAACACGUAGGCAACCUGCCUUUCAGUUUGGGAUAACUUCCGGAAACGGAUGCUAAUACCGAAUACAUCAUCUUCUGGCAUCAGAGAAUGAGGCAAGACGGCGCAAGCUGUCACUGAGAGAUGGGCCUGCGGCGCAUUAGCUAGUUGGUGGGGUAAUGGCUCACCAAGGCGACGAUGCGUAGCCGACCUGAGAGGGUGAACGGCCACACUGGGACUGAGACACGGCCCAGACUCCGACGGGAGGCAGCAGUAGGGAAUCUUCCACAAUGGGCGAAAGCCUGAUGGAGCAAUGCCGCGUGAGUGAUGAAGGUUUUCGGAUCGUAAAGCUCUGUUGCCAGGGAAGAACGUCCGGGUGAGUAACUGCACCCGGAGUGACGGUACCUGAGAAGAAAGCCCCGGCUAACUACGUGCCAGCCGCCGCGGUAA